AGUGAACGCUGGCGGUAGGCCUAACACAUGCAAGUCGAACGGCGGCACAGUAAGAGCUUGCUCUUACGGGUGGCGAGUGGCGGACGGGUGAGGAAUACAUCGGAAUCUACUUUUUCGUGGGGGAUAACGUAGGGAAACUUACGCUAAUACCGCAUACGACCUACGGGUGAAAGCAGGGGAUCUUCGGACCUUGCGCGAUUGAAUGAGCCGAUGUCGGAUUAGCUAGUUGGGGGGGUAAAGGCCCACCAAGGCGACGAUCCGUAGCUGGUCUGAGAGGAUGAUCAGCCACACUGGAACUGAGACACGGUCCAGACUCCUACGGGAGGCAGCAGUGGGGAAUAUUGGACAAUGGGCGCAAGCCUGAUCCAGCCAUACCGCGUGGGUGAAGAAGGCCUUCGGGUUGUAAAGCCCUUUUGUUGGGAAAGAAAAGCAGCAGGUUAAUACCCCGCUGUUCUGACGGUACCCAAAGAAUAAGCACCGGCUAACUUCGUG
This 492-nucleotide ribosomal RNA is filed under the name uncultured bacterium. Its description in RNAcentral is "partial 16S ribosomal RNA". It matches the Rfam family "Bacterial small subunit ribosomal RNA", at positions 29 to 507 of the family's 1533-position model. The record is from RNAcentral.